Molecule: ribosomal RNA, 2332 nt
Filed under: human gut metagenome
Description: bacterial LSU rRNA
Rfam family: Bacterial large subunit ribosomal RNA
Source: RNAcentral
UUAAGAUACUAAGAGCAUACGGUGGAUGCCUUGGCGAUAUCUGCCGACGAAGGACGUGACAAGCUGCGAAAAGCUGCGGAGAGAUGCAAAUAAUCGGCGACCCGCAGACAUCCGAAUGGAGCAAUCCGGCUGUGAUGAUGCACAGCCAUCCAUGCCCAAGAGCAUGAGAAGGGAACCGGGCGAACUGAAACAUCUAAGUAACCCGAGGAAAAGAAAUCAAACGAGAUACCCCAAGUAGCGGCGAGCGAACAGGGAAGAAGCCCAAACCGGUGAAGGAAACUUUACCGGGGUUGAGGACCAUCAGACCCGCGAAGAACCUUAGCCGAAACUGUUGGGAAACAGUGCCGAAGACAGUGAAAGCCUGGUAGGCGAAAAAGAGAAACGCGGAGAUGGCACCAGAGUACCGCGGGACACGAGAAAUCCCGUGGGAAGCAGGGGGGACCACCCUCCAAGGCAAAACACAGAUAUCGACCGAUAGCGCAUAGUACCAUGAGGGAAAGGUGAAAAGCACCCCGGGAGGGGAAUGAAAGAGAACCUGAAACCGUAUGUUUACAAGCAGUCGGAGACCGCUUAAUAAUAAGGUCGACGGCGUGCCUAUUGAAGAAUGAACCGGCGAGUUACGAAGCCUGGCAAGGUUAAGCAGGAAAUGCGGAGCCGAAGCGAAAGCGAGUCUUAAGAGGGCGCAAGUCAGGAAGCGUAGACCCGAAACCACAGUGAUCUACCCAUGUCCAGGUUGAAACACAGGUAAAAAUGUGUGGAGGACCGAACCUAUAUCCGUUGAAAAGGGUUAGGAUGAGGUGUGGGUAGGGGUGAAAUUCCAAUCGAACGUGGAGAUAGCUGGUUCUCCCCGAAAUAGCUUUAGGGCUAGCCUCAGGGAAAAGAUUGCAGGCGGUAGAGCACUGAUCAGGAGAGGGACCUACCCGGUUACCAAACCCAGUCAAACUCCGAAUGGCUGCAAUCAUACCUGGGAGUCAGACUGCGACUAAUAAGGGCCGUAGUCAAAAGGGAAACAGCCCAGACCAUCAGCUAAGGUCCCCAAUGCCGUGCUAAGUGGCGAAGGAUGUGGCAUUUCAUAAACAACCAGGAUGUUGGCUCAGAAGCAGCCACCAUUUAAAGAGUGCGUAAUAGCUCACUGGUCGAGAGACGCUGCGCCGAAAAUGUCCGGGGCUCAAGCACGGAACCGAAGCUAUGGCAUGAUAGCAAUAUCAUGGGUAGGGGAGCGUUCUUAUAAGGAAGAAGCAUGACCGGAAGGACAUGUGGACAAAUAAGAAGUGAGAAUGCCGGUAUGAGUAUCGAAAAGAAAGGUGAGAAUCCUUUCCACCGAAAGCCCGAGGGUUCCUGAGCAACGAUCGUCGACUCAGGGUAAGUCGGGACCUAAGCCGAGGCGAGAAGCGUAGGCGAUGGACAACAGGUUGAAAUUCCUGUACCGGAUCAAGUCGAUCGAGCAAAGGAGCGACGCAGGAGGGCACAUGAUCGCGCGGCUGGAAGAGCGCGUCCAAGUGCGUAUGUUGCAGCAGAGGAAAACCCCUGCGGCUGAAAGCAGAGACAUGAUGGGGAGUUAAAGGAAACUUUGACGAACUCAUGGAUCCCACACUGCCAAGAAAAACUUCUAGCGAGACAAGAUCCGCCCGUACCGUAAACCGACACAGGUAGGCGGGGAGAGAAUCCUAAGGUGCGCGGGAAAACCCUCGUUAAGGAACUCGGCAAAUUGCAUCCGUAACCUAGGGAGAAGGAUGGCCCCCGGUCAGUGAAGAGCAGAAACGCUCAGAGCUAAAAGGGGCGGCAGAAAAGAGGCCCAAGCAACUGUUUACCAAAAACACAGGUGCCUGCGAAAGCGAAAGCUGAAGUAUAGGUGCUGACGCCUGCCCGGUGCCGGAAGGUUAAGGAGAGAAGUUAGCGAAAGCGAAGCAUCGAACUGAAGCCCCGGUGAACGGCGGCCGUAACUAUAACGGUCCUAAGGUAGCGAAAUUCCUUGUCGGGUAAGUUCCGACCCGCAUGAAAGGCGUAAUGAUUUGGGCACUGUCUCAACGAGGGGCCCGGUGAAAUUGAAAUACCUGUGAAGAUGCAGGUUACCCGCGACUGGACAGAAAGACCCCAUGGAGCUUCACUGCAGCUUGAGAUUGAAUCCCGGUGACAGAUGCACAGGAUAGGUGGGAGGCGUCGAAGCAUUGCCCUAGGGCGGUGCGGAGCCGAUGUUGGGAUACCACCCUUCUGUUGCUGAGAUUCUAACGCGAGGAGUAACGACCCUGCGGACCCUCUCAGGCAGGCGGUUUGACUGGGGCGGUCGCCUCCGAAAGAGUAACGGAGGCGCCCAAAGGUUCCCUCAGGCCGG